This is a non-coding RNA of Ornithorhynchus anatinus (platypus), 138 nucleotides long. NCBI's taxonomy places the organism in Eukaryota, Metazoa, Chordata, Mammalia, Monotremata, Ornithorhynchidae. The record is from Rfam.
CCCCUCUCAUAGUCGCAACUGGAGAGUUUCCAGUAUUCUACCAGUCUCCACUAUGGGAGGAAGAGUUAAGCAGAAGCAUAUCCAUUCCAUUUCUAGCUUGGGCAGUGGCUAGCGAGUGGAAGGCAAUCUGCUACUAGU